Molecule: transfer RNA, 75 nt
Filed under: Verrucomicrobiia bacterium
Lineage: Bacteria; Pseudomonadati; Verrucomicrobiota; Verrucomicrobiia
Also listed under: 3 other names
Description: tRNA-Arg
Rfam family: tRNA
About the family: Transfer RNA (tRNA) molecules are approximately 80 nucleotides in length. Their secondary structure includes four short double-helical elements and three loops (D, anti-codon, and T loops). Further hydrogen bonds mediate the characteristic L-shaped molecular structure. tRNAs have two regions of fundamental functional importance: the anti-codon, which is responsible for specific mRNA codon recognition, and the 3' end, to which the tRNAs corresponding amino acid is attached (by aminoacyl-tRNA synthetases). tRNAs cope with the degeneracy of the genetic code in two manners: having more than one tRNA (with a specific anti-codon) for a particular amino acid; and 'wobble' base-pairing, i.e. permitting non-standard base-pairing at the 3rd anti-codon position.
Source: RNAcentral
GGGUCCAUAGUUCAAUGGAUAGAAUAGCGGCCUCCGAAGCCGUAGAUACAGGUUCGACUCCUGUUGGACCUACCA